RNA transcript from Mirounga angustirostris (Northern elephant seal), 4782 nucleotides. It is a transcript of the gene named netrin 4, with no coding region annotated. The transcript is spliced from 12 exons. The record is from RefSeq and is a predicted model, not a curated record. Lineage: Eukaryota; Metazoa; Chordata; Mammalia; Carnivora; Phocidae.
CGAGACGCGGCAGCGAGAGGAGGUGGUAAAAGCGGAGGAGGACGCCCAGGAGGCAGCGGCGGCGGCGGCGGCCGGGAAGUGAAAGGUCUCGCAAAGUUCAGCGGCUGCUGCGGGCGCCGAGCCCGGGGCUAGCGGCGGAGGAGCCCGCGGGACCGCUCCGCAGGGGCUGCGCGGCCAGGCCGGCUAUGGUCCGGGGGCUCCCGUCGCCCCCGAGGUGCCCGGGUCCCUCCAGGCCGGUGCGCGAGGGUCACCCCACCGCCCGGCGCGGCCCCGGCCCGCGGCUCCCGGCAGCCGGCGCCCACUGACCGAGCCUGGCGCCCCAGGAGGGGGAAGAAAUAAAGAGCCCCAGUUCUUCCUGAGGACUGUUGGCGCUUCAUCCCACAACCGAGAGGGCUCAGCUCCCUCGCGCACCCGCCCGGCCCGGGUCCUCCCGGCUCGUCCCGGCCAUGGGGAGCUGCGCGCGGCUGCUGCUGCUAUGGGGCUGCUCGGCGGUGGCCGCAGGACUGAGUGGAGUAGUUGGAGUGAGUUCCCGCUGUGAAAAAGCCUGCAACCCUCGGAUGGGAAACUUGGCUUUAGGGAGAAAACUCUGGGCAGACACCACCUGUGGUCAGAACGCCACCGACCUGUACUGCUUCUAUAGUGAAAACGCUGAUCUGACUUGUCGGCAGCCCAAAUGUGACAAAUGCCAUGCUGCCCAGCCUCACCUGGCUCACUUGCCUGCCGCCAUGGCGGACUCAUCCUUCAGGUUUCCUCGCACGUGGUGGCAGUCUGCUGAGGAUGUGCACAGAGAAAAGAUCCAGUUAGACCUGGAAGCUGAAUUCUACUUCACUCAUCUAAUUAUGGUGUUCAAGUCCCCCAGGCCAGCAGCUAUGGUGCUGGACCGGUCCCAGGACUUUGGGAAGACAUGGAAGCCUUACAAGUACUUUGCAACUAACUGCUCAGCUACGUUUGGCCUGGAAGAUGAUGUCAUCAAGAAGGGAGCUAUUUGCACUUCGAGAUACUCCAAUCCUUUUCCAUGCACCGGAGGAGAGGUUAUUUUCCGAGCUUUGUCACCGCCAUACGAUGCCGAGAACCCUUACAGUGCCAAAGUGCAGGAGCAGCUGAAGAUUACCAACCUCCGCGUGCAGCUGCUAAAACGGCAGUCUUGUCCCUGUCAGAGAAAUGACCUGACUGCAAAGCCUCAACAUUUUACACAUUAUGCAAUCUAUGAUUUCAUUGUCAAGGGCAGCUGCUUCUGCAACGGCCAUGCUGAUCAAUGCGUACCUGUUGAUGGCUUCAGACCGGUCAAGGCCCCAGGAGCAUUCCACAUGGUCCAUGGAAAGUGUAUGUGUAAGCACAACACAGCAGGUACCCACUGCCAAUACUGUGCACCAUUAUACAACGACCGCCCCUGGGAGGCAGCUGAUGGCAAAACAGGAUCUCCUAAAGAGUGCAGAACCUGCAAGUGCAAUGGGCAUGCGGAUGCCUGUCACUUUGACAUUAAUGUGUGGGAGGCAUCAGGUAAUCGUAGUGGUGGCGUCUGCAAUGACUGUCAGCACAACACAGAAGGUCAGCAUUGCCAGCGAUGUAAGCCAGGCUUCUACCGGGACCUCCGGAGACCCUUCUCUGCUCCAGAUGCUUGCAAAAUGUGUUCCUGUCAUCCAGUUGGAUCAGCUGUCCUUCCUUUCAACUCGGUGACCUUCUGUGACCCCAGCAAUGGUGACUGCCCUUGCAAGCCUGGGGUGGCAGGGCCACAUUGUGACAGGUGUAUGGUGGGGUACUGGGGCUUCGGAGACUACGGCUGCAGGCCCUGUGACUGCGCAGGGAGCUGUGACCCGCUCACAGGAGACUGCAUCAGCAGCAGCACAGACAUAGACUGGUAUCAAGAAAUUCCUGACUUCCAUUCCAUGCACAAUAAAAGCGAGCCAACCUGGGAGUGGGAGGAUGAGCAAGGAUUUUCUGCACUUCGACACUCAGGUAAAUGUGAAUGUAAAGAACAGGUGUUAGGAAACUCCAAGGCAUUCUGUGGAAUGAAAUAUUCAUAUGUGCUAAAAAUAAAGAUUUUAUCAGCUCAUGACAAAGGGUCUCAUGCCGAGGUCAAUGUGAAGAUAAAAAAAGUCUUAAAAUCUACCAAAUUGAAAAUUUUACGAGGAAAACGAACAUUAUAUCCAGAAUCGUGGACUAACAGAGGCUGCACUUGUCCAAUCCUCAAUCCUGGUUUGGAGUACCUUGUGGCAGGACAUGAAGAUGUAAGAACAGGCAAACUAGUCGUGAAUAUGAAAAGUUUUGUCCAGCACUGGAAGCCAUCCCUUGGGAGAAAAGUCAUGGAUAUUUUAAAAAGAAAGUGCAAGUAGCAACAAAGGUGGAAUGCCAUUUAGUAGCGUAUGAUUUACAAGCAACUUAUCAAACAUGUUGAGAGAGACACAGUGAGAGAGGGAACACAAGCAGGCGGAGUGGGAGAGGGAGAAGCAAGCUCUCCUGAUGCGGGGCUCGAUCCCACAUGACCUGAGCAGAAGGCAGACACUUAACGACUGAGCCACCCAGGCGCCCCUGCUCCAAUUAUUCUUAAGGCAAAGGAAAAAAAAUUCUCCCAUCAUUAAGAAGUGUCCCUGAGGAACUUCAACUGGUACAAAUUUGGCUACUGUUAGCAGGAGUCAAAAACAUUGACCUUGAUAACAUGACAGAAAUAAUUAUUAUACUCUGCAAGAGAAAUCAUUUCUUCACUGUGCCACAGAUUCAAUAUGUAUUUCCUUCAAUAAAGAAUGUGCAUGCCCUCAUUCCAAUAACUGAGGGAUGGAAGAGGGGAAAGGCUAGUACAAUUCAAAUACUAGCAAAUAGAGGUCAGUUGGGGAAAUAAUACAGAGAAGCAAUAGUGUGUCACCCUGGGAGAAGUGCUAGGAAUGAAAUAUAAGUAAGCAUGAAUGAGAGCUUGUGGAACACAUUACAGAGAAAAUGGCUUUAAAUGGAUCUACCAGCAACCUCUCAGCUUUUGAAUUUCACUAGGCAGAGGAGACAGACUCUACAUUGUGGUUUUAGAACUACUGUGAUAACUCAAAUGCCCAGACUCCCCUGAAAUCCAAAUACUGCUGUCACUGAGAUCUGCUUUAUAUGCAUUAUCUUCACAAAAACUUGUUGCUAACCUCUGAGGCAGGAGCGAUUAUUAUUGCCAUUUUAACCCGUGAGGAAAAGGAAGCUCAAGUAGACAACUAGGCCACUGUAAUCCAGGCGGUAAGUGAGCAAGUGAAAGCACAAGCCCAGGUCUGAGCCCUGGACUCUGUGCUCUUAGUCAUCACACUACAGCACUUCUUCCGUAAUGGGUGCCUUUUCGGUCUGCAGAGGUGGCCAACUGUUCUGGCUCUCCCUGCAUCUCUCUCUUCCUUCUGGUUCCCUGAUCGGUUGCUGAAAAGACUCAGGAAUUGAGUCCUGAGACAAUGACUGGGUAACUCUUCCUACAGUGAGGCUCUACCAUCAAUAGGAGCUUCAGCAUCUCCAUUCUCUUCUCCCUACUAAGGCUAAGAAAUGAUGACUGCCCUAUAAUCUUUUUAUAAAAAGUCUCUGUGGCUAUGGAAUAUUACUCGGCCAUCAAGAAAAGGAAAUCUUACCAUUUGCAACAACAUGGAUGGAACUAGAUGGUAUUAUGCGAAAUGAAAUAAGUCAAUCAGAGAAAGACAAUUAUCAUGACUUCACUCACAUGUGGAAUUUAAGAAACAAAACAGAGGAUCAUAGGGGAAGGGAGGGAAAAAUAAAGUAAGAUGAACUCAGAAGGGAGACAAACCAUAAAAGACUCUUAACUAUAGGAAACAAACUGAGGGUUGCUGGAGGGAAGAGGGGUGGAGGGAUGGGAUAACUGGGUGAUGGGCAUUAAGGAGGGCAGGUGAUGUAAUGAGCACUGGGUGUUAUAUACAACUGAUGAAAUCACUAAACUCUAUCUCUGAAACUAAUAAUACACUAUACGUUAAUUAAUUGAAUUUAAAUUUAAAAAAUAAAAAAAAAAAGUUGCUGUGUAGGAAAUGUUCUCAUCACAGCUCCAUUACCUAGUAGUAUACCCUAUAGAACAGAUAUGGGUGGUACUCUGAUGGCCUGGAAUGAUACAUCUGAUUGAAAAGGAAACCAUACAUUUUGGGUAACCAUGAUACUAGUUAUACUUCUAGACCACCACCUUAGAAGGAGGGGCACCUGGGUGGUUCAGUCAGGUGAGCGUCCAACUCUUGAUUGCAGCUCAGGUCAUGACCUCGGGGUUGUGAGAUCGAGCCUUGCCUGCACUCCUCACUCAGCGAGGUCUGCUGGAGAUUCUGUCUCUCCCUCUUCCCCUCCUCACUUGCAUGCACAUGCACUCUCUCUAAAUAAGUAAAUAAAAUCUUUAAAAAAAAAAAAAGGAGGGAAAGUAAGAGUUCACAAUAAUAUAUUUGCUCAUUUUCACAUUUUGUUAAUCUGUCUCUUUCAUUAGAUUAUACAAGCUUUUUGAAGUCAAGGAUCACAUCUGUUUUAUUCACAUUGUAUCCCCUGUGCAUACCAUAAUCCCUGGCACAAAGUCGUGCUCAGAAAAUAUUUGUCAAAUGAAUAAAUAGGUGAUAUCCCCAAAUUAGAAAAGCAUAUCCAACUACUCCCUUUUCUUUCUUUCUUUCUUUUUUUUUUUUAAGUAGACUCCACACCCAGCAUGGAGCCCAACAUGAGGCUUGACCUCAUGACCCCUGAGAUCAAGACCUGAACUGAGAUCAAGAGUCAGAUGCUUAACUGACUGAGCCACCCAGGUACCCCACCCCCUUUUCUUUAUUUAUUCAAUCAUUCUCACUUAUUGAACAG